UACGUAGGGCGCAAGCGUUGUCCGGAAUUAUUGGGCGUAAAGAGCUCGUAGGCGGUCUGUCGCGUCGGCUGUGAAAAUCCGGGGCUCAACCCCGGACUUGCAGUGGGUACGGGCAGACUAGAGUGUGGUAGGGGGAGACUGGAAUUCCUGGUGUAGCGGUGAAAUGCGCAGAUAUCAGGAGGAACACCGAUGGCGAAGGCAGGUCUCUGGGCAUUAAACUGACGCUGGAGG
Molecule: ribosomal RNA, 231 nt
Filed under: uncultured bacterium
Lineage: Bacteria
Description: partial 16S ribosomal RNA
Rfam family: Bacterial small subunit ribosomal RNA
Source: RNAcentral